AUCCAGGACGAGUCCCAGAAUGAACAUCAACUCUGAGAUGCAGGUACAUCCAGUUAACAAGUCCCGAAUAGGACGAAACGCGCGUCUUGGAU
RNAcentral lists this non-coding RNA (92 nucleotides) under Schistosoma mansoni. Lineage: Eukaryota; Metazoa; Platyhelminthes; Trematoda; Strigeidida; Schistosomatidae. The record is from RNAcentral.